RNAcentral lists this ribosomal RNA (340 nucleotides) under uncultured eukaryote. RNAcentral's name for it is "partial 18S ribosomal RNA". It matches the Rfam family "Eukaryotic small subunit ribosomal RNA", at positions 1470 to 1796 of the family's 1831-position model. The record is from RNAcentral.
CCCUUAGAUGUUCUGGGACGCACGCGCGCUACACUGACGACUUCAACGAGUUUUUUUCAUUUGAAAAAGUCCUUGGCCGGAAGGUCUGGGUAAUCUUUUAAAAGGUCGUCGUGAUGGGGCUAGAUUCUUGCAAUUAUUAAUCUCCAACGAGGAAUUCCUAGUAAACGCAAGUCAUCAACUUGCAUUGAUUACGUCCCUGCCCUUUGUACACACCGCCCGUCGCACCUACCGAUUGAACGUUCCGGUGAGACCUUGGGAUUUGGUCUUUGAUACUUUAUUGUGUCGUUGACCGAAAAACUUGAGCAAACCUUAACGUUUAGAGGAAGGUGAAGUCGUAACA